RNAcentral lists this RNase P RNA (262 nucleotides) under Candidatus Scalindua sp. RNAcentral describes it as "partial RNase P RNA component class A". It matches the Rfam family "Bacterial RNase P class A", at positions 115 to 367 of the family's 367-position model. From Rfam's summary of the family: Ribonuclease P (RNase P) is a ubiquitous endoribonuclease, found in archaea, bacteria and eukarya as well as chloroplasts and mitochondria. Its best characterised activity is the generation of mature 5'-ends of tRNAs by cleaving the 5'-leader elements of precursor-tRNAs. The record is from RNAcentral. Lineage: Bacteria; Pseudomonadati; Planctomycetota; Candidatus Brocadiia; Candidatus Brocadiales; Candidatus Scalinduaceae.
CAGAAAAUAUACCGCCUUACGAGAUUAUCUCGCAAGGUAAGGGUGAAAAGGUGGGGCCAGAAAUAGUGGCUUAAUGUAAGAGCCCACCGCUCUCUAAGUGAUUAGAGGGGCAUGGUAGACCCCACUGGGAGAAAGGCUAAAUAGAGAGGAAUAGAGUGAUCCGCUUUCAACCUCCGGGUAAGCCGCUUGAUUCCGAUGGUAACAUCGGAACUAGAUUAAUGGUCAUCAAAAACAGAACUCGGCUUAUGGCCUGCUUCAAUUC